GUGUAAUAGUGGUAGUAGUAGUAGUAGUAGUUGUUGUAUUAGUGGUAAUAGAGGUUGUAUUGGUAGUAGUAGUGGUAGUAGUAAUAGUGGUGGUGGUAGUAGUAGUAUUAGUAGUGGUAGAAGUAGUAGUAGUAGUAGUAGUUGUAUUAGUGGUAAUAGUGGUAGUAGUUGUAUUAGUGGCAAUACUGGUAGUAGUAGUAGUAGCAGUAGUGUUAGUAGUUGUAGUUGUAUUAGUGGUAAUAGUAGUAGUAGUAGUAGUAGUGUUAGUAGUUGUAGUUGUAUUAGUGGUAAUAGUGGUAGAAGUAGUCGCAGUAGUAGUAGUAGUGUUAGUACUAGUAGUUGUAUUAGUGGAAAUAGUGGUAGUAGUAGUAGUUGAUUUAGUGGUAAUAGUGGUAGUAGUAGUGGCAGUGGUAAUAGUGGUAGUAGUAGUAGUAGUUAAAGUAUUAGUUGUCGUGGUAGUAGUAGUAGUAGCAGCAAUAGUAGGUGUGUAGUAGUGGUAGUAGUAGUAGUGGUAGUGGUGAUAGUAGUAGUAGUGGUAGCGGUAGUGGUAGUAGUGGUAGUAGUUGUAGUAGUAGCAAUAGUAGUAGUGGUAGUAGUUGUAGUAGUACUGGUAGUAGUAGUGGUGGUGGUAGUAGUGGUUGUGGUAGUAGUAGUAGUAGUAGUAGUAGUGGUAGUAGUAGUAGUAGUAGUAGUAGUAGUGGUAGUAGGAAUAAUCGUGGUGGUAGAAGUAAUGGUGGUGGUAGUGGUAGUAGUAGUAAUGGUAGUAGUGGUAGUAGUCGAAGUAGUAGUAGUGGUAGUAGUAGUAGUAGUGGUGGUAGUAUUAGUAAUAGUAGUGGUAGUAGUAAUAGUGGUGGUGGUAAUAGUAGUAGUAGUGGUAGUAGUGGUAGUAGUAGUGGUGGUAGUAGUAGUAGUAGUAGUGGUGGUGGUGGUAGUAGUAGUAGUAGUGGUGGUUUUAGUAGUAGUGGUAGUAGUAGUAGUAUUAGUAUUAGUAGUGGUAGUGGUAGUUGUAGUAGUAGUGGUAGUGGUAGUGGUAGUGUUCGUAGUACUAGUAGUAGUGGUGGUGGUAGUAGUGGUGGUAGUAGUAGUAGUGGUAGUAGUAGUAGUAGUAGUAGUAUAAGUAGUGGUAGUAGCGGUACUAGCAGUAGUAGUAUUAGUAGUGGUAGUAGUAAUAGUGGUGGUGGUAGUAGUAGUAGUUGUGGUAGUAGUAGUAGUAUUAGUAGUUGUAGUAGUAGUAGUGGUGGUGGUGGUGGUAGUAGUAGUAGUGGUGGUAGUAGUAGUAGUGGUAGUAGUAGUAGUAUUAGUGUUAGUAGUGGUAGUUGUAGUAGUAGUGGUAGUAGUAGUGGUAGUGGUAGUGUCCUUAGUAGUAGUAGUGGUGGUGGUAGUAGUAGUAGUAGUGGUGGUAGUAGUAGUGGUAGUAGUAGUAGUAGUAGUAUAAGUAGUGGUAGUAGCGGUAGUAGCAGUAGUAGUAGUAUUAGUAGUGGUAGUAGUAAUAGUGGUGGUAGUAGUAGUAGUUGUCGUGGUAGUAGUGGUAGUAGUAGUAGUAUUAGUGUUAGUAGUGGUAGUGGUAGUUGUAGUAGUAGUGGUAGUAGUAGUGUCCUUAGUAGUAGUAGUGGUGGUGGUAGUAGUAGUAGUAGUGGUGGUAGUAGUAGUGGUAGUAGUAGUAGUAGUAGUAUAAGUAGUGGUAGUAGCGGUAGUAGCAGUAGUAGUAGUAAUAGUGGUGGUGGUAGUAGUAGUAGUUGUGGUAGUAGUGGUGGUAGUAGUAGUAGUAAUGGUAGUAGUGGUAGUAGUAGUAGUAGUAGUAGUAGUAUUAGUAGUGGUAGUAGUAGUAGUGGUAGUAGUAGUAGUAGUUGUAUUAGUGGUAAUAGUGGUAGUAGUUGUAUUAGUGGCAAUACUGGUGGUAGUAGUAUUAGUAGCAGUAUUAUUAUUAUUAGUAGUGUUAGUAGUUGUUGUUGUAUUAUUGGUAAUAGUGAUAGUAGUAGCAGUAGUAGUAGCGGUAGUAGCAGUAGUAGUAGUAUUAGUAGUGGUAGUAGUAAUAGUGGUGGUAGUAGUAAUAGUUGUCGUGGUAGUAGUGGUAGUAGUAGUAGUAUUAGUGUUAGUAGUGGUAGUGGUAGUUGUAGUAGUAGUGGUAGUAGUAGUGUCCUUAGUAGUAGUAGUGGUGGUGGUAGUAGUAAUAGUGGUGGUGGUAGUAGUAGUAGUAGGAGUAGUAGUUGUAGUGGUAGUAGUAGUGGUAGUAGUUGUGGUAGAGGUAGUGGUAGUAUUAGUAGUUGUAGUGGUUGUAGUAAUAGUGGUGGUGGUAGUAGUAGUAGUCGUGGUAGUAGUAGUAGUAGUGGUAGUAGUGGUAGUAGUAGUGGUGGUAGCAGUAGUAGUAGUAGUUGUAGUAGUGGUGGUGGUGGUUGUAGUAGUUGUGGUGGUAGUAGUAGUAGUGGUAGUAGUAGUAGUAGUAUUAGUGUUAGUAGUAGUAGUUGUAGUAGUAUAGUUGUAGUAGUAGUAGUAGUGGUAGUAGUGGUAGUGGUAGUAGUAGUUGUAGUAGUAGUGGUAGUAGUAGUGGUAGUAGUAGUUGUAGUAGUAGUGGUAGUAGUGGUUGUAGUAGUAGUAGUGGUAGUGGUAGUAGUAGUAGUGGUUGUAGUAG
RNAcentral lists this long non-coding RNA (2629 nucleotides) under Salmo salar (Atlantic salmon). RNAcentral describes it as "lncRNA (ENSSSAG00000112708.1)". The record is from RNAcentral. Lineage: Eukaryota; Metazoa; Chordata; Actinopteri; Salmoniformes; Salmonidae.